RNAcentral lists this ribosomal RNA (468 nucleotides) under uncultured bacterium. RNAcentral describes it as "partial 16S ribosomal RNA". It matches the Rfam family "Bacterial small subunit ribosomal RNA", at positions 28 to 507 of the family's 1533-position model. The record is from RNAcentral.
GACGAACGCUGGCGGCGUGCUUAACACAUGCAAGUCGAACGGAAAGGCCCUGCUUUUGUGGGGUGCUCGAGUGGCGAACGGGUGAGUAACACGUGAGUAACCUGCCCUUGACUUUGGGAUAACUUCAGGAAACUGGGGCUAAUACCGGAUAGGAGCUCCUGCUGCAUGGUGGGGGUUGGUAAGUUUCGGCGGUUGGGGAUGGACUCGCGGCUUAUCAGCUUGUUGGUGGGGUAGUGGCUUACCAAGGCUUUGACGGGUAGCCGGCCUGAGAGGGUGACCGGCCACAUUGGGACUGAGAUACGGCCCAGACUCCUACGGGAGGCAGCAGGGGGAAAUAUUGCACAAUGGGCGGAAGCCUGAUGCAGCAACGCCGCGUGCGGGAUGACGGCCUUCGGGUUGUAAACCGCUUUCGCCUGUGACGAAGCGUGAGUGACGGUAAUGGGUAAAGAAGCACCGGCUAACUACGUG